RNAcentral lists this ribosomal RNA (491 nucleotides) under uncultured beta proteobacterium. Its description in RNAcentral is "bacterial SSU rRNA". It matches the Rfam family "Bacterial small subunit ribosomal RNA", at positions 8 to 494 of the family's 1533-position model. The record is from RNAcentral. Lineage: Bacteria; Pseudomonadati; Pseudomonadota; Betaproteobacteria.
AGAGUUUGAUCCUGGCUCAGAUUGAACGCUGGCGGCAUGCCUUACACAUGCAAGUCGAACGGCAGCACGGGAGCAAUCCUGGUGGCGAGUGGCGAACGGGUGAGUAAUAUAUCGGAACGUGCCCAGUAGUGGGGGAUAGCCCGGCGAAAGCCGGAUUAAUACCGCAUACGACCUGUGGGUGAAAGCGGGGGAUCGCAAGACCUCGCGCUAUUGGAGCGGCCGAUAUCAGAUUAGCUUGUUGGUGGGGUAAAAGCCCACCAAGGCGACGAUCUGUAGCUGGUCUGAGAGGACGACCAGCCACACUGGGACUGAGACACGGCCCAGACUCCUACGGGAGGCAGCAGUGGGGAAUUUUGGACAAUGGGCGCAAGCCUGAUCCAGCCAUGCCGCGUGUGGGAAGAAGGCCUUCGGGUUGUAAACCACUUUUGUCAGGGAAGAAACGGUUUGUCCUAAUACGGCGAACUAAUGACGGUACCUGAAGAAUAAGCACC